RNAcentral lists this long non-coding RNA (3658 nucleotides) under Astyanax mexicanus (Mexican tetra). RNAcentral's name for it is "lncRNA (ENSAMXG00005006089.1)". Lineage: Eukaryota; Metazoa; Chordata; Actinopteri; Characiformes; Acestrorhamphidae. The record is from RNAcentral.
CCCGCCCCCUUACUCAGAAUGCAGGCUCGCGCGCUGCCCCACAUGCCCGUUCUCUUCGGGAGCUGAGCUGAGGCUGCGCGUGGCGCGCGAUGAGCCGUUGAAGCGGGUUCGAACGGUUCUCUUCGGCUCAUAAGGAGCUCGUGUAGGGAACGUGUGAUUUGGGGUCGUCGCGUGCGGUGCUGAGUGCAGCUUGCGCCGCCGGUACGUAUCCCGGCUCGUGCAGAAAACGGGUGGGGGUUGUGGGGGUUGUGGGUGAUGAAAGCGGCGAUGAUGUAAACACUGAGCGCGCGAACUGCUCGUCUGCUUUUUGUAAUUACCGCUCGGUAACGGGUCGCAGGGACCGCGAUUAACACUCCGUCCGCUAUUGUUUAUCUCUGGUCAGAUCAAAGAACAGCGUGCGGGAGGAGGAUGCAGGCUCACGCGCUGCUCCAGCUCUGCUGCUCGUUCCUGCUGUCUCUCCUCGGUCUGGGCGGGACUGAAGGGCACACCACGGGCAGACCUGAAGCUCCGUCAGCUGGUACCGGCAUCAAGGAGGGAGUGCAGUCUGACGGGGGUCUGCAGUCAGUGCUGAAGGACUCGGUCUCGCCAGCUUUCAGUGCCACAGUCAUCAUCAUCGUCACGGUCAUCGUGUCUGGCAGCGCCUACCUCUGUUUCCUGAAGUAUGUGUGUGCUGGUUGCUGCAAACCUACACAGGUGGCACCCGCCACCCACAUAAACCCCAACAAAAGUGAGGAGCAGGUGUGAGGACAGGUAGUGCCUGUGGUCCAGAGACUACGUGCGGUUCGGAACGGAUUAUUACCUCCAGGAUUAUUAUUCAGAGUGCCUGAUCAGUGGGGUUACAUGUGACGUGAAGACUGAAGAGAUACCCGUAUUGUAAUCUAGGAGGACAUUUCAUGCCCAAGUGAUAUAUCUUUUGAUAAUGUUUCAUAUAUUUAUACUUUAUAAUAAUUAAUUAAGUAAUAGCAUGAUUAAAAAGUGUGUAAACACAUUAAACAACACAAUUACAUCUUUAACCUAAGGCUUGAUAUUGGCAAGGCCUUGGCGAUAUGAUGUGUAUCACAAUACAAGGAUUGCAAUUCAAUAUAAUAUUCUUAGCAAUUUUUUUGGAAAAACCCACAUAGCAUAAAACACCAUUAUAUAUACAGCUCUGGACAAAAAUAAGAGACCACUUAAAAAUCAUGAGUUUCUUUGAUUUUACUAAAUUGAAAAGCUCUGGAAUAUAAUCAAGAGGAAGAUGGAUGAUCAUCAAAACCAUUUUAUCCAAUCCGAAAAGUAGGAUCUAAUGACAGAGUAGACAGAGUACAUGCCACAAAUUUUUACAUGUAAACUAAUUAUUAAAAAUUGAUACUGUGAUAAUAUUAUACUGUAUUGUAUAAUAAUGUUCUUACACUUCUACCUUAACCCUGAACACAGUGGCCACUGUUAUUCCACUCUGCGUUUCAGAGUUAAAGCCCCAUAUGACUGUAAUGAACUGAGAUAAUCAGCAUCUAAAUUAUGCUGGCUAAAACAGCAAGGAUGAUCUUAAAAUAGAGUCGGAUGUUUCCAUAUACUCAACAUUGACAUGGCAACAUUUUUUGUAUUGUAUUGUAGAAUUUCUACGGUCAUUUUCUGGAGCAGAAUGAGUUUUAACAUACAUUUUUUAGACGUUUUCUAUUAAAACGUGUUAAAAGGUAAAAAAAAGUAGACAUACAGCACACUUUAUAUUUGAUAAAAAUAUCAAAUAUAUCAAUAUAUCAAGUUGCAACCAAAUGAAUUUGGAAGCCUUCAAGUCAAAUCUAGAGGCAUUUAUUGUCAUUCAAUCAUUUGACAGAUCAACAAUCCAGCCGCACACUUGUAGGUUGCUGAAUCUGGCAUCCCACACAUAGUAUCUUGCUCUCUCAGCCUUAAACACUGAGGCACUGUAAAUCAGUGACUCAGUGCAUACAAUGUAAAUCUGAAGAGAAGGCAGCAGCCUGUGGAGAAUGAUUACACACUGAUUGUCAUGUCCUGGCCUUGUCUCAUGUCUCUGUGUGUGUCCCACGUGACCUGUGCCCCUUUGUUCUGUUUCAGUACUUUUCCACCUGUGUCAAUUUGUAGCUCCGCCCCCUAGCCCCAGGUGUUUCCACUUUCCUUGUGUGCUAUAAAGCCUUCCUUUGUCUCUUGCCCUUCGUCGGUCUUUGCACUUACCCCUGUUGUUCGUCUCUCUCUGUGUUCUAUAGCCAUCUCUGUAUUUCAUAGCCUUAGCUCUUGUCCUUUGUUUAUCUUCUUGUUUAUUUCUAGUUCCCUGUUUAUUUCCAUUGUUUUCUCCCUUACCCUGCUCAGUUUAGUUUUCCUAGUCUUGUUUAGCUUCUUGUUUAUUUUCCUUGUGUAUAUUUAUCCCUGCCCAGUUUAGUUUUGUAUUUAUUCAGUCCCUUGUUUGUUUCUUUGUUUAUUUACUUCCUGUUUGUUUAUCAUUAGUACUUCUUGUUUUGUUUAGUUUAUGUUCUCUAGUUUCACUGGUUUGUUUUGGUUUUUGGUUAUUCGUUUAUCUUUGUUACGUGUUUACUUGUUACUUGUUUCUUUGUUUACUUGUUAUUUAUUUAUUUAAUUAUUAUGUAUUUCACCCUACCUGCACUUGCGUCCGUCUCCUCGUCUCCCUGCAUGGGUCACCCCCCCCCCCCCGUGACACUGAUGGUGAGUGCGAGGUGGAAGGGCAUGUCGAAUAUGCAAAUAGAUAUUUCCAGGAGCCAAUGGGAACAUUUCCACAAAAUGGCUGUAGUGCACAUAAAACUGUCUGACCAACAUCAGGUGAAAAACCCUGCAGAAUUGCAGGUUCCUGUAAAAAGUCUUAACGAGUGUGUGCAGGGUGAUUAGCUUGGCCUCAAUUCGGAUUCUACUACAAUUAGUAAAAUUUGCCAACACAGAUUAUUUAUUCUGACCAACUUUAAACAAGAAACGUAUUCAUUUUAGUUGAUAGUUUGCUAAAGUUUACAUUUCAGUUUGAUAUUUUUGCUCAGCUUACUUAAAAAUCACAUAAGUCACUGGAUAUCUACGACAGUGUUUUAGGGCCACUCUUAAAAAAAUAACGCAAUAUUACAAGAGUAAAGUCAUAAUAUUUUGACGGAAACGUAGGCUAACUGCCUAAGCUGUAGUUCAAGAAGCAUAGAGGGAAAAGAGCAUUUCAGUUCAUGAUCUGUUAUCUGCUGUGAUCACCACCAGUUAUCUACUUUUCUAAUGCGUGAUGCUCUAAUGUUACAGUAGGUAAUACAGUGUCCUGAUUUUUCUGUGGUGGCACACAAGCACACACGUCAUCUUGCAUAUUCAUGACUAAAAUUUACUGUAUUUAUGUUCCUUUGGUCGCAAUAACCAAACUAAAAGCUAGCAGAACACCUCCACUAAGCAGCAUGAACCCCUAAACGGGGGAGCCAAAAGCUAGGCUUUUUUUUUUUGUAACAAUAGAGCAUUAAUAAUUAGCAGAUUCAAAAUGUUGCUAACUGGUGGAAAUCACAGCAGCCUGCUGUGUAACUGUGUAACUAUUUUUACAUAAUCAAAACAAAGGUAUUUAUUUUUAUUCUUUUGUUUCCAUUUAUGAACAACAGUAUAAUUAGCACAAAACAUGGGACAGUGACAUUACAAUUUGAAUGCUAUGCGUUCUGUUGUGCUGUGUGCAACUGUGCAAUAAAAACGUUUAAAAGUAACA